UAACACAUGCAAGUCGAACGAAGCUUGACGAAUGAUUUCUUCGGAAUGAAAUCUGAUAUGACUGAGUGGCGGACGGGUGAGUAACGCGUGAGCAACCUGCCCUUCGGAACGGGAUAGUGUCUGGAAACGGACAGUAAUACCGUAUAACGUAUUUUUACCGCAUGAUAGAAAUACCAAAACUGAGGUGCCGAAGGAUGGGCUCGCGUCUGAUUAGAUAGUUGGUGGGGUAACGGCCUACCAAGUCGACGAUCAGUAGCCGGACUGAGAGGUUGAACGGCCACAUUGGGACUGAGACACGGCCCAGACUCCUACGGGAGGCAGCAGUGGGGAAUAUUGCACAAUGGGGGAAACCCUGAUGCAGCAACGCCGCGUGAAGGAAGACGGUUUUCGGAUUGUAAACUUCUGUUCUUAGUGAAGAAUAAUGACGGUAGCUAAGGAGCAAGCCACGGCUAACUACGUGCCAGCAGCCGCGGUAAUACGUAGGUGGCAAGCGUUGUCCGGAAUUACUGGGUGUAAAGGGAGCGUAGGCGGGAUGCCAAGUCAGCUGUGAAAACUAUGGGCUUAACCUGUAGACUGCAGUUGAAACUGGUAUUCUUGAGUGAAGUAGAGGUUGGCGGAAUUCCGAGUGUAGCGGUGAAAUGCGUAGAUAUUCGGAGGAACACCGGUGGCGAAGGCGGCCAACUGGGCUUUAACUGACGCUGAGGCUCGAAAGUGUGGGGAGCAAACAGGAUUAGAUACCCUGGUAGUCCACACUGUAAACGAUGAUAACUAGGUGUGGGGGG
Molecule: ribosomal RNA, 782 nt
Filed under: uncultured bacterium
Lineage: Bacteria
Description: bacterial SSU rRNA
Rfam family: Bacterial small subunit ribosomal RNA
Source: RNAcentral